This 253-nucleotide ribosomal RNA is filed under the name uncultured bacterium. RNAcentral describes it as "partial 16S ribosomal RNA". It matches the Rfam family "Bacterial small subunit ribosomal RNA", at positions 524 to 776 of the family's 1533-position model. The record is from RNAcentral.
UACAGAGGCCUCAAGCGUUAUUCGGAAUCACUGGGCUUAAAGCGUGUGUAGGCGGAUCGUUAAGUGUCUUGUGAAAUCCCACGGCUCACCCGUGGAACUGCUGGGCAUACUGGCGAUCUUGGGCCAACUAGGGGCAACUGGAACAAGCGGUGGAGCGGUGAAAUGCGUAGAUAUCGCUUGGAACGCCAAAGGUGAAAACAGGUUGCUGGGGUUGUGCCGACGCUGAGACACGAAAGCCAGGGGAGCAAACGGG